RNAcentral lists this ribosomal RNA (429 nucleotides) under Actinomycetes bacterium. Its description in RNAcentral is "Actinobacteria bacterium partial 16S ribosomal RNA". It matches the Rfam family "Bacterial small subunit ribosomal RNA", at positions 355 to 776 of the family's 1533-position model. The record is from RNAcentral. Lineage: Bacteria; Bacillati; Actinomycetota; Actinomycetes.
UAGGGAAUCUUCCGCAAUGGGCGAAAGCCUGACGGAGCAACGCCGCGUGAGUGAUGAAGGUCUUCGGAUCGUAAAACUCUGUUAUUAGGGAAGAACAAAUGUGUAAGUAACUAUGCACGUCUUGACGGUACCUAAUCAGAAAGCCACGGCUAACUACGUGCCAGCAGCCGCGGUAAUACGUAGGUGGCAAGCGUUAUCCGGAAUUAUUGGGCGUAAAGCGCGCGUAGGCGGUUUUUUAAGUCUGAUGUGAAAGCCCACGGCUCAACCGUGGAAGGUCAUUGGAAACUGGAAAACUUGAGUGCAGAAGAGGAAAGUGGAAUUCCAUGUGUAGCGGUGAAAUGCGCAGAGAUAUGGAGGAACACCAGUGGCGAAGGCGGCUUUCUGGUCUGUAACUGACGCUGAUGUGCGAAAGCGUGGGGAUCAAACAGG